GUAAAGGACCCAUUGGUACAAGCCAGAAAUACAUCUUCAACCCAGUGACUGUGAAGAAAGUGUUCCAUCCAGGUAACCCUGAAGAACCUGUCAGUGGAAAGUACAAGUGUCGAGCAUCGAACUCGGCCGGAACAAGAGACAGCGAAUGGGGAGAUCUGUAUGUCUAUACACCAUGUUCAUUGUAUACCGUGAGUGUUUCACCACCCACACCUGCCAUCGGAAGUACAUUCACCCUCAACUGUUACAUAUCCAAUCCAAGCGGAUUAUCUGUGUAUUGGUUAAAGAAGGCUGAUGCUUCAUCUCCAGCUAUAUAUGUAGCUGCAGCAAAUAAGUUGGGAUGCCAUGCUCCAAGUAACCCACGUUACAGUUGGAGCAGCUGCAGCCCACCAAGCAUCUCAUCACUGACAAAGACAUUCAAUCUACAAGUCACCAAUGCUCAGCUUUCUGAUUCUGCUUACUGGAUAUGUCAGGAUGUUAGUCUGAGCUGCAACAGUAACCCAGUCAAGCUAGUAGUGCAAGCGCCCCCAGGCACGCCACAGAUCACCGGUUUCCCAUCUGGACCAGUCAUUGCUGGAGCACAGCUCAACUUGAAGUGUGUGGCCUCCCCUCCUGGAGA
This is a long non-coding RNA of Lineus longissimus, 616 nucleotides long. RefSeq lists it as uncharacterized. NCBI's taxonomy places the organism in Eukaryota, Metazoa, Nemertea, Pilidiophora, Heteronemertea, Lineidae. The transcript has 3 exons. The record is from RefSeq and is a predicted model, not a curated record.